UACGUAGGGUGCAAGCGUUGUCCGGAAUUAUUGGGCGUAAAGAGCUCGUAGGCGGUUUGUCGCGUCUGCUGUGAAAACUCGGGGCUUAACUCCGGGCCUGCAGUGGGUACGGGCAGACUAGAGUGCGGUAGGGGAGACUGGAAUUCAUGGUGUAGCAGUGAAAUGCGUAGAGAUCAUGAGGAAGACCAGUGGCGAAGGCGGGUCUCUGGACAGUUCCUGACACUGAGGCACGAAGGCCAGGGGAGCAAACGGG
RNAcentral lists this ribosomal RNA (253 nucleotides) under uncultured bacterium. RNAcentral's name for it is "partial 16S ribosomal RNA". It matches the Rfam family "Bacterial small subunit ribosomal RNA", at positions 524 to 776 of the family's 1533-position model. The record is from RNAcentral.